This is a long non-coding RNA of Photinus pyralis (common eastern firefly), 1230 nucleotides long. RefSeq lists it as uncharacterized. The transcript has 4 exons. The record is from RefSeq and is a predicted model, not a curated record. NCBI's taxonomy places the organism in Eukaryota, Metazoa, Arthropoda, Insecta, Coleoptera, Lampyridae.
CAGCUGAUAUGUGCACUUAAUAAACGUCACUCCAUUUAACUACCGUUCUGUAUCGAUCACAAGAUAAUGCUACACAAUGCACAAUUCAAGCUAAACUAUGGAGAUAAAGAUAGGUUUAGGAGGCUUCUCUAAGAGACUUUUGGAAACCCUUAACUGCACUUACAGCAUCAGAGAGCUCGUAAAGGUUUCAAAGGCUUCAAUUAAUUGAAGCCUUUAAGUGCUCUUGAACCCUUUGGAUCUUUGCGUAGUAGACCUCGGCAUUUAUUUACCGCGUAGUUAAUAACUUUUGCCUAGAAAAUUGAGAUGCGGCUGCCGAGGAAGCCUAGGAAAUCGAAAUUUAAAAAUAAAUCAGUAAGGCAUGGAGAGCAGGUAUCUCAUGGGGAAGUCAAGCAAGUAGAAUAAGUCUAGGAAGUUCAACAGUUCGAAAAAGUAGAAGAAACCGAAGCAGGCAAAGUGAAAUUGAAACCGGAAAUUGGAAGUAGAAGCGAAAACGUAAAAGCGAAACCAAAGAUUGGUAUUUGGUAACCUGGAAAUGGAAACCUUAGCAUGAAGAAAAGGCAUGAAGAAAUUGAGAACCGGAAACCGGAAACGAGAAACCGCAACGUGGAAAACUGGAAGCGGGGAAGGCUUAAUUAGCCUUUAAAAGUGUCAUAGCAUUAAAAAAACCCUCUAGUGUUCUAGAAGAGUUUUUCAUGAACCCAGAAGAUUCUAGCAGCACUCAACAAGCUAAAGGACCUAGGUAGAGCAUUUCAGCUGCGCCGCAGGUGCCAUAGGAGGGUAUUAGCUUUUAAAAAUUUUAUGGCGCAUUGCGCAGUCCAAAAGGCAUCCGUCGGAACAGGUAACAAGUUUCGCCCGAAGUUGUAAACAUGGUCGAUUGUUGACAACAUCUUAACCUUGACAGAGAUGAGUAAGGUACGAUCCAAAAGGUCUCCAGCAUUCUCUUCUCGAACAAAAUCCCAAAACGUCAAAAUUGUGAAAGUGCAGUUCACAUUAACAGCAAAAUAAGACUCAGGUCGCCGUUAAAGCAUCGUAAGGUCAAAGUCGUUAUAAUUUGCUGACUAAUUUCAGCGACCAUUAAAUUAUUCCAAAAAAUGCGGCGAUUUAACAAAUUGAAGUUAUUGUAGGAACAAUAAUCUUGCCAUGACAUUUUUGAGCUAUUAAUACUUUUCCAUUCGGUCGUCUCUUUUCAUACUCUUCUCACCGUUUUCUGGCAAUCCCCAUUUGCUGUUU